CGGGAGCCACAUAGGAAGUGCCUUUGAGUCUCAGCACGGACGAGACCCAUAGUGCCAAGCAAAGCUGGUACUGUCAGGUACAAAAUGGAGAAGCAAAGCUCUCCUCUGCAAAGCUACCUGCCU
This is a long non-coding RNA of Aethalodelphis obliquidens (Pacific white-sided dolphin), 123 nucleotides long. RefSeq lists it as uncharacterized. The transcript has 3 exons. The record is from RefSeq and is a predicted model, not a curated record. NCBI's taxonomy places the organism in Eukaryota, Metazoa, Chordata, Mammalia, Artiodactyla, Delphinidae.